RNAcentral lists this ribosomal RNA (1315 nucleotides) under unidentified marine bacterioplankton. RNAcentral's name for it is "bacterial SSU rRNA". It matches the Rfam family "Bacterial small subunit ribosomal RNA", at positions 9 to 1371 of the family's 1533-position model. The record is from RNAcentral.
GAGUUUGAUCAUGGCUCAGAACGUACGCUGGCGGCACGCCUAACACAUGCAAGUCGAACGAAGUAGCAAUACUUAGUGGCAGACGGGUGAGUAACAUGUAGGUAUCUGCCCUUUGGCCUGGAAUAACACGAGGAAACUUGUGCUAAUACCGGAUAAGUCUUUACGGAGAAAGCUUUAUGCACCAUUGGAUGAGCCUGCACUUGAUUAGUUUGUUGGUGGGGUAAUGGCCUACCAAGACUGUGAUCAAUAGCUGAUUUGAGAGGAUGAUCAGCCACAUUGGGACUGAGACACGGCCCAAACUCCUACGGGAGGCAGCAGUGGGGAAUCUUGCACAAUGGAGGAAACUCUGAUGCAGCGAUGCCGCGUGAGUGAAGAAGGCCCUUGGGUUGUAAAGCUCUUUCGUCGGGGAAGAAAAUGACUGUACCCGAAUAAGAAGGUCCGGCUAACUUCGUGCCAGCAGCCGCGGUAAUACGAAGGGACCUAGCGUAGUUCGGAAUUACUGGGCUUAAAGAGUUCGUAGGUGGUUGAAAAAGUUGGUGGUGAGAUCCCAGAGCUUAACUCUGGAACUGCCAUCAAAACUUUUCAGCUAGAGUUUGAUAGAGGAAAGCAGAAUUUCUAGUGUAGAGGUGAAAUUCGUAGAUAUUAGAAAGAAUACCAAUUGCGAAGGCAGCUUUCUGGAUCAUUACUGACACUGAGGAACGAAAGCAUGGGUAGCGAAGAGGAUUAGAUACCCUCGUAGUCCAUGCCGUAAACGAUGUGUGUUAGACGUUGGAAAUUUAUUUUCAGUGUCGCAGCGAAAGCGAUAAACACACCGCCUGGGGAGUACGACCGCAAGGUUAAAACUCAAAUGAAUUGACGGGGACCCGCACAAGUAGUGGAGCAUGUGGUUUAAUUCGAAGAUACGCGCAGAACCUUACCAACACUUGACAUGUUCGUCGCGACUUUAAGAGAUUAAAGUUUUCGGUUCGGCCGGACGAAACACAGGUGCUGCAUGGCUGUCGUCAGCUCGUGUCGUGAGAUGUUGGGUUAAGUCCCGCAACGAGCGCAACCCUCACUUUUAGUUGCCAUCAUUAAGUUGGGCACUCUGAAAGAACUGCCAGUGAUAAGCUGGAGGAAGGUGGGGAUGACGUCAAGUCCUCAUGGCCCUUACGUGUUGGGCUACACACGUGCUACAAUGGUAUCUACAACAGGAAGCAAGACUGCGAAGUUAAGCAAAUCCUUAAAAGAUACCUCAGUUCGGAUUGCACUCUGCAACUCGAGUGCAUGAAGCUGGAAUUACUAGUAAUCGUGGAUCAGCGUGCCACGGUGAAUGCGU